UACGAAGGGGGCUAGCGUUGUUCGGAAUUACUGGGCGUAAAGGGCGCGUAGGCUGUGCUGUAAGUCAGGCGUGAAAGGCCCGGGCUCAACCUGGGAACUGCGCUUGAUACUGCGGCGCUGGAAUGCAGGAGAGGAUGGCGGAAUUCCCAGUGUAGAGGUGAAAUUCGUAGAUAUUGGGAAGAACACCGGUGGCGAAGGCGGCCAUCUGGCCUGCAAUUGACGCUGAGGCGCGAAAGCGUGGGGAGCAAACAGG
This 253-nucleotide ribosomal RNA is filed under the name uncultured bacterium. RNAcentral describes it as "partial 16S ribosomal RNA". It matches the Rfam family "Bacterial small subunit ribosomal RNA", at positions 524 to 776 of the family's 1533-position model. The record is from RNAcentral.